Molecule: long non-coding RNA, 769 nt
Filed under: Macaca mulatta (Rhesus monkey)
Lineage: Eukaryota; Metazoa; Chordata; Mammalia; Primates; Cercopithecidae
Description: lncRNA (ENSMMUG00000050547.1)
Source: RNAcentral
UCCAUUGAAAGGUGGACAUCAGUAGACCUAUUCAUUAUGAGACUUUAGUCAUCCUGGAGCGUCUCCUGUGAUUAGAUCUUUCUUCCUUUGGGCAAAGGGUGGGAAGGAGACUCUUUUCUUCUAUUCUUGCUACGGUGCUUACAAAAUAUUUAUUGGAGAAGAAAUUGAUUCCUUUAUCAUCAGGUUCACGGACUCUUUAUUUUAUUCACCAUGUUUACCUUCUUUGUGAGCUCUCUGAGUUAUUGACAUGGUGGUUUACUUGUGUCUCUAAAACCUCACUGUUUCUUGAUUUAUAGGUUACAUCGUGCCUUUUCUCUUCCACAUGACGGAGAUCUUCAAAGUAAGCAUCUUUCAAAGCAGUGACAAGCAAAAUACAGCUGGAAGAUCAGUAACUCUCUGUUAAGCAGCUUUGCUUGCUGUCAUUGUUGACUGCCAGGGGGUGGUGAUCCAUGUCAGUCACUAAAAUGACACCUUGGCAAGACUGCUGUCUGCUCCUGGAGUUUUUGUGUAUGGAAACAAUUUUAAGGUUCCCAGGCAGGAAACUCAAAAGAGAGGUCAGAGAAGGAUGAGAAUCCUCAUGCUAUUUGGCAUCUUAUUGUAAGACGUGGUGGAAUGUGUUCAGCAAGUAAAUUUGGCAGAAUUGAAGAGUAAUGGAUUGGCAUAUCAAAAUGCAUAUACAAAAAAUUAAUCAAGGCAAACAACUUCAUUCAUAGUGUUACAGUAAACAAGUUUUAGUAUAGGAUUUUAAAAGUCUUAGAUUCAAGUUGUG